GGGCUGUUAGCUCAGCUGGUAGAGCAGCGGACUCUUAAUCCGUUGGUCGCAGGUUCGAAUCCUUCACGGCCCACCA
RNAcentral lists this transfer RNA (76 nucleotides) under Betaproteobacteria bacterium. Its description in RNAcentral is "tRNA-Lys". It matches the Rfam family "tRNA". Rfam says of the family: Transfer RNA (tRNA) molecules are approximately 80 nucleotides in length. Their secondary structure includes four short double-helical elements and three loops (D, anti-codon, and T loops). Further hydrogen bonds mediate the characteristic L-shaped molecular structure. tRNAs have two regions of fundamental functional importance: the anti-codon, which is responsible for specific mRNA codon recognition, and the 3' end, to which the tRNAs corresponding amino acid is attached (by aminoacyl-tRNA synthetases). tRNAs cope with the degeneracy of the genetic code in two manners: having more than one tRNA (with a specific anti-codon) for a particular amino acid; and 'wobble' base-pairing, i.e. permitting non-standard base-pairing at the 3rd anti-codon position. The record is from RNAcentral. Lineage: Bacteria; Pseudomonadati; Pseudomonadota; Betaproteobacteria.